GAUGAACGCUGGCGGCGUGCUUAACACAUGCAAGUCGAACGGAAAGGCCCUGCUUUUGCUGGGUGCACGAGUGCCGAACGGGGGAGUAACACGUGUGUAACCUGCCCCUGACUGUGUGAUAUCUUCAGGAAACUCGGGAUAAUACCGGAGAUGAUCUCCUGCUGCAUGGGGGUGGAUGGUAAGAUUCGGCGUUUGGGGCUGGUCUCGCGGGUUAUCAGCUUGUUGGUGGGGUAGGGGCUUACCAAGGGUUUGACGGGUAGCCGGCCUGGGAGGGGGACCGGGCACCUUGGGACUGCGGUACGGACCAGUAGGCUAUGGGCGGCAGCAGUGGGGAAUAUUGCACAGUGGGCGGACGCCUGAUGCAGCAACGUCGCGUGCGUGAUGCCGGCUUUCGGGUUAUAAACCGCUUUCGCAGGUGACGAAGCGUGCGUGACGGUAAUGGGUAAAGAAGCCACGGCUAACUACGUG
This 468-nucleotide ribosomal RNA is filed under the name uncultured bacterium. Its description in RNAcentral is "partial 16S ribosomal RNA". It matches the Rfam family "Bacterial small subunit ribosomal RNA", at positions 28 to 507 of the family's 1533-position model. The record is from RNAcentral.